GCGCCUUGUCCAUUUUUCAAAGGGGGAGAGUCGUUCCUCGUGCUAUUACAUUGUUUGAGGGCUGGAUAGCCCGAUCGAAAAAUUCCACAAAGGGGCUGCGUAGGGAGCGGCAUUGGGGCGGUGAGGGCUCAGGGCGACCGUACAGCUGAGUGUAUGGGGGGAGGGGCAGGAGCUCGGGCCCCAAAUGAUACUGCGGGUGACCUAACGCGCGUCUCGCUGACUUGCGGCGAGCCCCUGCCUUCCCCAGGGACUCAGACACGGAAACCUCUCUUCAGCCUACCCGCGAGCGAGUCCCCGGCGCCAACCUGCCCUCUGACCUCUUGUGAGACCAGGCCAGCCGUGCCGACAGCCCGGACUGUGGGGCAGGCUGCCAGCCCGAGGCAGUCUCCCCUACACAGAGUGAGACGGGAGGAGGGGUUAGAGGUUUGAAGCCCAUUCGGUGAACGAUGCAGGGCUACUGAUUGAGGGGGGUCCCCUCCCCCACGCUCAGAUGGUGAAGACCUAAGGCAGGUCUGUCUGAGGAAGCCAGUCCGCGAGUGAGAUCUUGCGCGGGCCUGUCUAAGGGAACCUCCGAGGAAUGAGACACGAGGGACAGGGCCAGCUCUGUUUGCGAGCCUCUUCUUUAGCUAAUGGCACUAGGGUAGGGGCUGGUCUAGGCUGCCCUGACUAGCGCUAAUCAAUAGCGGAGCGAGAGGUACGCGCGUGAGACAGGCGCAGCCCCUGUGUGUAUACUGAGCACCUUCCCUUCUUCCCACCCCCACCCUCCCUGCGUGUGCUGCCCACACACCACCCCGCAUUCCCCGCCUGGCUUCGCCCUCCGGCGAUGGCUGAGGGAGGGAGGGAGGGGAAACGGCGGCGGCUGGGGUUUUAUUCGACGCCCACCAGGGGCUGAGCGAGCCUUCUUCAGUGCGCAAACUCGGUGCACCACAUAAAAGCUGGGCUGGCAGCUCUUUACCCUGCCUCGAUGGAGCCGCCACGAGUGGGUGACUGGGGAAGCCGCCGCCAUAGCCAACCCUUCCCCGUACCUUGGGCACAGAGGCGUGUGGGGCUAAAGAACCGCUGCUGUAGCAGACAGGAGUCGAGAGGGAUCUGGAUGCGGAGGAGGCGGCUGUAACGAGACCUCGAGUAUGGGGGGAGGGAGGGAUUAAACGUCUUGUGGCCAUGGCGGAGUCUGAGGGUAUUUUUUCCUGUCUAACUCGCGUGUGUGUCUCUGUUUCUCUCUCUCUCUCUCUCUCUCUCCGUAGGGCGCUUGGUUGGGCUGCUCGCUCGGGUUCUGCCUGUUGCGCGAAAUGGCGGCUGCUGUCUUGCUGGGUUUGGUUGUUUGGCUUUUUUCGUUGGCUCUUUUUUCUCCUAUUUCCCUCCCCCUCCCUUGGCCACUUCUCCGCAGCGAACCGCGGUGAGGACUGAGUCAGGAGGAAGAGGCGGGGGGAGCGGACGGCAUUGAAGCCAAUCACCAGGCUGGCUGGGCUGCCCAGGGGCGCCCGGAUUGGCUGCUGCUGACAUCAUCUUGCAGCAGGGGCAGCCGCAGCUGGGCAGGGCUGAGGAGCUGUCUGGGGAGGCUGGUGCAAAGGGAGAAAACAGGCGCCAUGAUCCCGGCGCUGGGGAGGCUGAGGGCCCGGAGAGCGAGGCAAGCUCACGGGAAGGGAACGUGAAGGCCUUGACAACCAUCACCUAAGCUAAGCGGUACCAGGACUGUGAGGAGAUAAGCAGGGGGAGAGGGACCGUUUGUAUUUAUAACUGCGUCAGCACAAGAUGGCGCGGGGUCUCCCUGGAGAGGGACAGGAGCUGCACGUCCGCCGGAGGUCAUGUGACCGCGUUGCAUUCUUGUGGGGCUGUUUGGCUGCAGACCAAGCUGGCUGAGAAGGCGGCUGCUGGGGAGAGUCUGCGCUUCCUCCCCCGCCCUAUUCAUCCCCGCCCCAGGCUGGAGAGUCUGGGUGGAUUUUUAUUCUCCUUCCCUAUUGCCCAUCUGCAGGAGGGUGUAGUUCGUGCUACUAAGGAAAGUUCUCGCUUCUCGUCCCAUUUCCCCACCCCCAGGAUGUGGCAGCUCCUUGUGGGGAAAGUUUUCCUCCUCCCCCUCCUCUGCAUUGAGCUUAGCUGCUGCAGAAGAAAGUUCUCGCUCUUCUCCCUGCCCCAGCCCCUCCUUUUCCGUGCGGGCAUGGAGGCGGGGAGUAAUUUUUUCCAUUACUGCCGGACAAGGUUGUAAGAUAGAGAAAUGGAUGCACAGGAAGAUGAAGUGACUUGCCCGGUGUCACCCUGUAGGUCAGUGGCCUACUUGGAAAUAGAGCCCUGUUCUUAAAUGUGCGUCUGUCCAUCCAUCUGAGUCCAUUUGUUCAAGAACUCCUAAACAGGAAGAGCUAGGACCACCAAAUUUGAUAUGCAACUUCCUCUUGUCCUGACUUAAAGCAGCAAGGUCAGUGUUUGGUUGUGCCAAGGAAACAGGAAGUGCUGUGAAUGGGACUAUUUUUCAUAACAUGGAAAGGCAGAGGGCAGAAAGAGGAGAGACAUGAUACUGAGUGGUUAGUGGGGGCAGUCACAUCACCAAGAGUGUUGCCAGCAGGGCUAGGACUCCACAAUCGUGCCUGCCACCAGACUGGAUAAAUAGCCCCUAUGCUCCAAACCCUUUUCCCCCAACCUGGCUCUUGGCUGCAACCUGGCGUUUGGGUGGGGGGGGGACAGAGGGGAGAAAAGGCCCCUGACAGCCAGAAGGGCGAGACAGAAGACCUGGAGGAGGGGGAUGGACUGGGAGAGAGAGAAAAGGCUCCAUUAGAUUAAAUCUCCCUACCCUGAGAUCUCAUUCCCCCCUCCCCCAUUCUCACUCUUGCGCACCCCUCCCCCCAAAACCUCCAGCUUGUGGCUUGUCCCUGAUUCCUGCACUGCCUCACACACUGCCAGCCACUUGCUUUAAAGUACCCUGGCAACACUGGGUAAAUCUAGUUCUCUCUCUCUCUCUCAUUGGGUGGGCAAUAAAAAACGGCAGCCCGCAGGGUUAGUCCUUGGCGGGCUGCUGCCACGGUUACCUGUGCCUCCACAGGUUUUGGAGGAUCACCGCUCUAGUUGGCCACGAAUCACUGUGUCCAAUUUGAGCAACGGGAAGCAUCAUGAACCAGGAUGCCACUUCCCACUGCUCAUAUUGGCCACAAAUGGCAAUUUGCAGUCAACAAGAGCUGUGAUUCUCCAAUAACCUACAGAGGCACAGGUAAACAUGGAAGUAGGGGCCCACCAGGGACUAGCAGCCCAGAUCCGGCCUAUGGGCCGGAAUUGCCCACCCUGAUGGAUUGUAUGAAAGCAGCUAUUUAAAAUGUUGUUUAAUACAAUCUGAGUGCUGUUACUGACUGCAGUAUUUUUUUUACUUUAGAAGAAAUACCAUCGUACAGUUUCUGUAACACACAUACAAUACAGUACUAUCUCAAACAGCUAGGGACAGAUUGUAACAGAAAUGUUCUUGGAUACCAAAAGCAUCUCUUCAGCAACUAAUUGUGAUCACAGAAGCAAGCAAUUUAAACUUCAGUAAGAAUAUGCAGCAAAAGCAGGUGAAGUCUUAAAGGAGGUCUUGUUUUCAUGCAAUUGAUGCUAGCAAUAGACUAAACAUUUCAGAUCUUCAGCAAUUUUUAAAAUGUUUAAAACAUACUUUUUUUCUGAUAGUUUGUAUGGUUGUAUUUCACUAAAAAGAUGUGAUGGCCUCCUUAUUGUGUGACCUAUCCAUUAACAAAAAGCUUGUUUUUUAGACUGGUUUCGACUUCCAGAUGGAUUACACAAGCUCAGUAGGACUCCGCCCUACAUCCUGUACCAAGAAGCAAUUCACAGGACUCUCCAUUGUUCUUUGAUUACUUUGUGCUUUCUACAUUC
This is a non-coding RNA of Pelodiscus sinensis (Chinese soft-shelled turtle), 3846 nucleotides long. The record is from RefSeq and is a predicted model, not a curated record. Lineage: Eukaryota; Metazoa; Chordata; Testudines; Trionychidae.